RNAcentral lists this ribosomal RNA (336 nucleotides) under Aurantiochytrium limacinum. Its description in RNAcentral is "partial Bacterial small subunit ribosomal RNA". It matches the Rfam family "Bacterial small subunit ribosomal RNA", at positions 1 to 340 of the family's 1533-position model. Lineage: Eukaryota; Bigyra; Thraustochytrida; Thraustochytriidae. The record is from RNAcentral.
AUGGAGAGUUUGAUCCUGGCUCAGGAUGAACGCUGGCGGCGUGCUUAACACAUGCAAGUCGAACGAUGAAGCCCAGCUUGCUGGGUGGAUUAGUGGCGAACGGGUGAGUAACACGUGAGUAACCUGCCCUUAACUCUGGGAUAAGCCUGGGAAACUGGGUCUAAUACCGGAUAGGAGCGUCCACCGCAUGGUGGGUGUUGGAAAGAUUUAUCGGUUUUGGAUGGACUCGCGGCCUAUCAGCUUGUUGGUGGGGUAAUGGCCUACCAAGGCGACGACGGGUAGCCGGCCUGAGAGGGUGACCGGCCACACUGGGACUGAGACACGGCCCAGACUCCU